CUUUUGAUUAUUAAGGUUAAAAUAAAUAGAAGAUUAUGUACAUAUGAUGAUGGAAUUGUAGCAGUCACAUUCAUUCCUAAAAAGCUCAAAUCUCUAUCAAACCUAAUCCACCAGCUCUUGCAAGCACAGAGACCAGACAAUACCAAACCAGGCCAGAAUACUUUCACCCAUCAUAGUACCCUAACUUUACCGGAAAAUUUGCAGCAGAACAGAUAGCAGAUUUUGAACGCUUUUCUGAUAUCUUGUUGUUCCCCAUCACAAACUUAGAACAUAGUACGACGUCAGUAGAGGAAAAUGAUCGGCUCAUGCUUAGCAUAAAGAAGAUAACCAAAUGCAGCAGAAAAAUGAUGCCUCAAAUAAAGGAUCCCCUCUCUGCCAACCCAGCUAUAUCAGUGUACCAUUAUGUACUUCGAAUUGUGUCCACUCGAUCAAUGACAUCCAAAGCUUUGAGUCGAUCCAUGUUAAAAUCGAUUACUGGAACAGAAGACAGUCUCCUGACGGGAAAGGGAUCCUUCCUGGUUUCACGUAUAGGGGAAUGGUUACUACUCUUACUCAGCCUGUGGAACUUGCUAAGCCUAGUUCUUGCAGUAGCGAAUUCUUGGGACUUGCUAAUUCCAGGUGUCAGUUUUCUCUUGCUUACAUCCCGAAGCAUCUCUUGGUCUUCAACUGUUAAUGUGGAAGAUGGAGAACUUGGCUUGUGUGUUAACUGAUUCAUCUUUUGAUUAGGGUAACAAGAUGGAGAUUUUACAGGAGAUCUGAUUCCGCCAUUUGUAGAAUUUCUCGACUGAGUGACAAGAUAGUGAAGCCACACCACCAGUUCAAGAAUAUAAGCUUCGGUUUUCUCCUUAUCAGCAUGAUAUAGUGUCUCAAUUCGAAGUAGAUCAGUCUGGCCAGCAGGUUUCCCUGUAUUUGCCCAUUCUCCAACCCAUCCAAAGCCAUGGUGGGCCUUGGUUGUGUUGGUUGCCAUGGGAACAAGCCACUGCAGCGUUUUCUCCAUUUCAGCCUUGAUUUGUUGCACAGUUAACUCUUCCUUGAGCUGGAAGGAUUGUAAUUUGAAUCGCAAAGCUGACUUAAUGCUUGGUGGCAACCCUUGGUAUAAAGCAUCUCUUGUAUUUGGGGGCACCGAACCUGAUCGCGUGACAAGCGUAUCAAUCUGAGUUAUGAUAUUUGCAUAAUGUAAUGCAAGACCAGCAGAUCCUAAUCUCUGAUGGUUGUUUUUUAUUGGACGGUCUCCAUCAGAGUUUCCAAAUGCAGCAUGGAUCUCCAAAUGGAGGAAGUGGACAAUGUCCACAAGCUUUUCCAUCACCUCUUCCAAUAUCUUCGACCAGAGAGACUUCUUUUUCAAACUUUUGACAUGUUUCUUUUGACUUUUCAACUCUGCUCUCAAAAUUGCAAGGCUGUCUCCUUUCUGAGUAGCAUUUGAAGUAUCCUCUUCUUGGGCUUUACGUCGACAAUCUUGUUCAAUUCUGUCCAAUGCAUGCAAUUCAUGGUACAGUUCUGCUGUAUACUGUACCAAGGUCAUUAAGUGCAGCAUCACAGUCUCAGCUUCUUCUUUUAGUUGUUUAUGAGGUGUCAAUUCUGAUUCCAACUUCUCAAAGUAACGGUCUAAGUUGUGCCAUUGAGG
Molecule: unclassified non-coding RNA, 1624 nt
Filed under: Hevea brasiliensis (rubber tree)
Lineage: Eukaryota; Viridiplantae; Streptophyta; Magnoliopsida; Malpighiales; Euphorbiaceae
Source: RNAcentral